GCUUCUUUUUCCACCGGAGCUUGCUCCACCGGAAAAAGAGGAGUGGCGAACGGGUGAGUAACACGUGGGUAACCUGCCCAUCAGAAGGGGAUAACACUUGGAAACAGGUGCUAAUACCGUAUAACAAUCGAAACCGCAUGGUUUUGAUUUGAAAGGCGCUUUCGGGUGUCGCUGAUGGAUGGACCCGCGGUGCAUUAGCUAGUUGGUGAGGUAACGGCUCACCAAGGCGACGAUGCAUAGCCGACCUGAGAGGGUGAUCGGCCACAUUGGGACUGAGACACGGCCCAAACUCCUACGGGAGGCAGCAGUAGGGAAUCUUCGGCAAUGGACGAAAGUCUGACCGAGCAACGCCGCGUGAGUGAAGAAGGUUUUCGGAUCGUAAAACUCUGUUGUUAGAGAAGAACAAGGAUGAGAGUAACUGUUCAUCCCUUGACGGUAUCUAACCAGAAAGCCACGGCUAACUACGUGCCAGCAGCCGCGGUAAUACGUAGGUGGCAAGCGUUGUCCGGAUUUAUUGGGCGUAAAGCGAGCGCAGGCGGUUUCUUAAGUCUGAUGUGAAAGCCCCCGGCUCAACCGGGGAGGGUCAUUGGAAACUGGGAGACUUGAGUGCAGAAGAGGAGAGUGGAAUUCCAUGUGUAGCGGUGAAAUGCGUAGAUAUAUGGAGGAACACCAGUGGCGAAGGCGGCUCUCUGGUCUGUAACUGACGCUGAGGCUCGAAAGCGUGGGGAGCAAACAGGAUUAGAUACCCUGGUAGUCCACGCCGUAAACGAUGAGUGCUAAGUGUUGGAGGGUUUCCGCCCUUCAGUGCUGCAGCUAACGCAUUAAGCACUCCGCCUGGGGAGUACGACCGCAAGGUUGAAACUCAAAGGAAUUGACGGGGGCCCGCACAAGCGGUGGAGCAUGUGGUUUAAUUCGAAGCAACGCGAAGAACCUUACCAGGUCUUGACAUCCUUUGACCACUCUAGAGAUAGAGCUUCCCCUUCGGGGGCAAAGUGAC
This 997-nucleotide ribosomal RNA is filed under the name Enterococcus hirae. Its description in RNAcentral is "bacterial SSU rRNA". It matches the Rfam family "Bacterial small subunit ribosomal RNA", at positions 68 to 1035 of the family's 1533-position model. The record is from RNAcentral. Lineage: Bacteria; Bacillati; Bacillota; Bacilli; Lactobacillales; Enterococcaceae.